Non-coding RNA from Ictidomys tridecemlineatus (thirteen-lined ground squirrel), 1717 nucleotides. The record is from RefSeq and is a predicted model, not a curated record. Lineage: Eukaryota; Metazoa; Chordata; Mammalia; Rodentia; Sciuridae.
UCAUGUCUUCAUUCGUGUACUUUGGAUAAGGAUGUCUAUCAAAACUUGACAAGUGUCUGUUGAAAUCUGAAACCAUAUCAUACUGUUCCUAUAAGAUCUAUUGGUCUAUCUUGCACUUAGAAGGAUACUAUAAUUAAUUAUACAGUUUGGUGCCACUGCCUUGAUUUGUGCUAAGACUCCAGCAGUCUCACCUACUAUUGCUUUUGCACCAUCAAAUAUCACCACAAUAAAAAAGGCAAAAAUGUCUUAGUAUUAUUAAGAAGAUAGUUUUGACUCAUGGAUUCUUUCAUCAAAGAAUCUUGGGAACUUUAAGGGUCUUUAGACCACACUUUGAGAACCACUGAUUUAGAGGCUUGAUCAACCUUAGUUUUGCAACUGUAAGCUUUUAGAAGAAAAGGACUCUUCUUGUUUAGCAGAAGUCCAGAUCUUGAUCUAAAUCACACUGAAAAUCUGUUCUAGGAAUUGAAACCUAAUGAAACGUUCUUACACAUCUUUCUAGGAUAAGAAUCACAGGUUACUGUUACUGGAAUAACCUGAAAUACUUCAUGUUAGUACAGUAAAUACCAUUUCUUCUUUACAUUUAAGAGAAUCUGGGGAUGUAGCACAGUGGAAGAAUGCUUCCUGGCACACACGAGGCUCUAGGUCCAAUUGCACCACACACAAUACAAAUAAAAGAAUCUAAGUUCCUAACUUAAGUGGCUAAAUAACUAAAAUACUAAAAAUCAAUGAGACAAUUUGAAGAGUUUUGUCAUUUCUAGGGGCCCCUCAUAUCAAUCAUUUCCAGAAUAGAGGAGCCUUCGACUUAAAGCCAGUUGUCAAAACUACUUAACACGGCCAGGAAGCACCAUUUUUGCCUUCUGCUUUUUGUCUUUUUUCUUUCUUGUACUUCUUUCCUCAUCUCAGUUUUGUUUCCUUUCCCCAUCUGUUUCCUACCAAAGUUUCUAAGACUCUACCCCAACUCUCAUAGCUUGUUCCAGAGCAUCCUCUUCUUCAGUGGUUAAAAAAUAUUAUCUGCAGGCUGUGAUUCUCCAAUUCUCUCCACUCUUGAAUCACUGCCAUAUUAAUUGCUUCCAUGGGGAACUUUCUAAAGGAGAGAACUGUGUUCCUUUUAUCAUUUUUUCCCUUUUCCUCAAAUAUAUACAAUCAUAAAGUCUUAAAAAAUACAUGAUUUUUCUUUGAAGACUGAUAAUGAUGUACUAUAGUAAGGAUCUCAUAAGUUUUUAGUUUAAAAAUAUUUAGCUAGACUAACUUAAAUACUACUUAUAGUCUGUAUUACCUUUCUGUUAUUGUGACAAAUUAGCUGAGGUAAUCACCUAAAACAAGGAAAGGUUUAUUAAAAUUGGCUUGGGGUUUCAGUCCAUGGACAGUUGGCCAGUUGAGACAUAGAACGCAGGAGCAUAUAGUGAAGAUGGCUGUUCACCUCAUGGAGAAGAGAGGAGGGAGAUUUUCAAGUCUUGUGGUGCUGAGUAUGAGAAUGACGAGUAGUUCACACACUGUGCAUUCCCAUCUCUGUCACUGGGAGUCCUGGUAAGUGGUGGAGGACAUGGAUGGAGUGUCCAGUAGAUAUGACCACCAGACCAUAAUAGCCCUUCUGCCCUUAUCAGUAUUUGUAUUUUCAAAAUUAAGUUAAUACCUUAAAAAUCAAAGUUAAGUUUUGCUGCUUGGAACUGUAGUCGUUGUCUUCUUUUCUUGGGAGGAAGAAUAAGUAAAAAAAAAA